UACGGGAGGCAGCAGUGGGGAAUAUUGCACAAUGGGCGAAAGCCUGAUGCAGCUAUGCCGCGUGUAUGAAGAAGGCCUUAGGGUUGUAAAGUACUUUCAUCGGGGAGGAAAAAACAAAACUAAUAAUUUUAUUUCUUGACGUUACCCGAAAAAGAAGCACCGGCUAACUCCGUGCCAGCAGCCGCGGUAAUACGGAGGGUGCUAGCGUUAAUCAGAAUUACUGGGCGUAAAGAGCACGUAGGUGGUUUUUUUAAGUCAGAUGUGAAAUCCCUGGGCUUAACCUAGGAACUGCAUUUUGAAACUGAAAUACUAGAGUAUCGUAGAGGGAGGUAGAAUUCUAGGUGUAGCGGUGAAAUGCGUAGAUAUCUGGAGGAAUACCUGUGGCGAAAGCGGCCUCCUAAACGAAUACUGACACUGAGGGUGCGAAAGCGUGGGGAGCAAACAGGGAUUUAGAUACCCGU
This 461-nucleotide ribosomal RNA is filed under the name uncultured bacterium. RNAcentral describes it as "bacterial SSU rRNA". It matches the Rfam family "Bacterial small subunit ribosomal RNA", at positions 340 to 789 of the family's 1533-position model. The record is from RNAcentral.